AACGUAGGUGGCGAGCGUUAUCCGGAUUUACUGGGCGUAAAGGGUGUGCAGGCGGGCUGUUAAGUGGUGCAUGAAAUCUCCGCGCUUAACGUGGAGAGGCUGUGCCAGACUGGCAGUCUAGAGUACGAGAGAGGGUUGUGGAAUUCCUGGUGUAGCGGUGAAAUGCGCAGAUAUCAGGAGGAACACCGAUGGCGAAGGCAGGUCUCUGGGCCACUACUGACGCUGAGAAGCGAAAGCAUGGGGAGCGAACAGG
Molecule: ribosomal RNA, 253 nt
Filed under: uncultured bacterium
Lineage: Bacteria
Description: partial 16S ribosomal RNA
Rfam family: Bacterial small subunit ribosomal RNA
Source: RNAcentral